RNAcentral lists this ribosomal RNA (253 nucleotides) under uncultured bacterium. RNAcentral describes it as "partial 16S ribosomal RNA". It matches the Rfam family "Bacterial small subunit ribosomal RNA", at positions 524 to 776 of the family's 1533-position model. The record is from RNAcentral.
UACAGAGGUCUCAAGCGUUAUCCGGAUUCACUGGGUUUAAAGGGUGCGUAGGCGGGCAGGUAAGUCAGUGGUGAAAUCUCCGGGCUUAACCCGGAAACUGCCGUUGAUACUAUCUGUCUUGAAUAUCGUGGAGGUAAGCGGAAUAUGUCAUGUAGCGGUGAAAUGCUUAGAUAUGACAUAGAACACCCAUUGCGAAGGCAGCUUACUACACGAUCAUUGACGCUGAGGCACGAAAGCGUGGGGAGCAAACAGG